Molecule: small nuclear RNA, 159 nt
Organism: Mastomys coucha (southern multimammate mouse)
Lineage: Eukaryota; Metazoa; Chordata; Mammalia; Rodentia; Muridae
Product: U1 spliceosomal RNA
Exons: 1
Source: RefSeq, a predicted model, not a curated record
CUACUCAACUGGCAGGGGUGACACCACAGUCAUGAAGUUGGUUUUCCCAGGUGAGGCUUACCCAUUGCACCCGGGAUUUGCUGGCCCUGUGAUGUCCCCCAAUGUGGGAAACCCGACUGCAUAAUUUGUGGUAGUGGAGGACUCCACUCACCCCCUCCC